Molecule: transfer RNA, 76 nt
Filed under: Candidatus Thorarchaeota archaeon
Lineage: Archaea; Promethearchaeati; Candidatus Thorarchaeota
Description: tRNA-Lys
Rfam family: tRNA
About the family: Transfer RNA (tRNA) molecules are approximately 80 nucleotides in length. Their secondary structure includes four short double-helical elements and three loops (D, anti-codon, and T loops). Further hydrogen bonds mediate the characteristic L-shaped molecular structure. tRNAs have two regions of fundamental functional importance: the anti-codon, which is responsible for specific mRNA codon recognition, and the 3' end, to which the tRNAs corresponding amino acid is attached (by aminoacyl-tRNA synthetases). tRNAs cope with the degeneracy of the genetic code in two manners: having more than one tRNA (with a specific anti-codon) for a particular amino acid; and 'wobble' base-pairing, i.e. permitting non-standard base-pairing at the 3rd anti-codon position.
Source: RNAcentral
GGGCCAGUGGCUAAGCCAGGUAUAGCGACAGGCUCUUAACCUGUUGGUCGGGGGUUCGAAAACCCCCCAUAUUCCA